GAGAGUGGAAUUCCACGUGUAGCGGUGAAAUGCGUAGAGAUGUGGAGGAACACCAGUGGCGAAGGCGACUCUCUGGUCUGUAACUGACGCUGAGGAGCGAAAGCGUGGGGAGCGAACAGGAUUAGAUACCCUGGUAGUCCACGCCGUAAACGAUGAGUGCUAAGUGUUAGGGGGUUUCCGCCCCUUAGUGCUGCAGCUAACGCAUUAAGCACUCCGCCUGGGGAGUACGGUCGCAAGACUGAAACUCAAAGGAAUUGACGGGGGCCCGCACAAGCGGUGGAGCAUGUGGUUUAAUUUGAAGCAACGCGAAGAACCUUACCAGGUCUUGACAUCCUCUGACAACCCUAGAGAUAGGGCUUUCCCUUCGGGGACAGAGUGACAGGUGGUGCAUGGUUGUCGUCAGCUCGUGUCGUGAGAUGUUGGGUUAAGUCCCGCAACGAGCGCAACCCUUGAUCUUAGUUGCCAGCAUUUAGUUGGGCACUCUAAGGUGACUGCCGGUGACAAACCGGAGGAAGGUGGGGAUGACGUCAAAUCAUCAUGCCCCUUAUGACCUGGGCUACACACGUGCUACAAUGGACAGAACAAAGGGCUGCGAGACCGCAAGGUUUAGCCAAUCCCACAAAUCUGUUCUCAGUUCGGAUCGCAGUCUGCAACUCGACUGCGUGAAGCUGGAAUCGCUAGUAAUCGCGGAUCAGCAUGCCGCGGUGAAUACGUUCCCGGGCCUUGUACACACCGCCCGU
RNAcentral lists this ribosomal RNA (740 nucleotides) under Bacillus aerophilus. Its description in RNAcentral is "bacterial SSU rRNA". It matches the Rfam family "Bacterial small subunit ribosomal RNA", at positions 657 to 1397 of the family's 1533-position model. Lineage: Bacteria; Bacillati; Bacillota; Bacilli; Caryophanales; Bacillaceae. The record is from RNAcentral.